Molecule: small RNA, 213 nt
Filed under: Oryza sativa Japonica Group (Japanese rice)
Lineage: Eukaryota; Viridiplantae; Streptophyta; Magnoliopsida; Poales; Poaceae
Description: sRNA Os02g0832833
Source: RNAcentral
CUAUACCCUAAGCUGACUGAGGGAAUCCGGACCAACGAGGUAUAUUCGUCUUCGACUACUCUUGUACCGGAAGACUACUACUCCUUUAUAAGCUAAGUAAACCUUCCAUUCUUCAAAUAUUCCAAAUUGACGAGCUAUCCGCUCAAAGUCUUCCUGAUCGUUAUACUGGAUCCUUACAUCCGCAUCCAUAUUGUGGGCUUUCAACGCGGCAUC